RNAcentral lists this long non-coding RNA (690 nucleotides) under Bos indicus x Bos taurus (hybrid cattle). Its description in RNAcentral is "lncRNA (ENSBIXG00005008470.1)". Lineage: Eukaryota; Metazoa; Chordata; Mammalia; Artiodactyla; Bovidae. The record is from RNAcentral.
CUGAUUCCCAGGAUAGGACUCCUGGGUGGUGAGAUGGAAUGAGAUGUUCUGUACCCUAAAGGUGGGCUGAGCCCUUUUCACCUUUCAAGAGAAGAAUGUUGGCUUUGUUGAGAGCCAGUGGACUGUCACUAGAGAAGUCGGCAUGGCUAGAAACUGGGUGCUUGAAGAGUUCCUCUGGGCCUUCCCAACACAGGGAGAAAGGAAGCCAUCUCCCCCAGGAGGGGUGCAUCCAGGCCUUUUCAGGCUCUCAGGUUCUUCCCAUGCACGAACACCUGGCAGUGGAGGCUGAUGAAGAAAAUCAGGCUGGGGGUGUGCAGGUGCACUGCUGGAGUAACUCGCUGCAGGACGAAAAGCUACUCAGCCGUAGCUCUAUCUGCUUUUACCAAGAGCACAGAAGUUCUAUUAAUAGAAGGGAAAAUGUUACACUACUGGGUGUAAUACCUGAGUCUCCUGCCUUCACUUGGUUCCCUACGGUUAGAAGAGAUGGUGUGAUGAGAGGCCUGGGAGCCACAGAGUCUGAUUCUUUUGCUGUUACUCCUGUGUGGCUGGACUGGGACUAAGGAGGCGAUGGGACUCUAGAGACAGGUAAGUCACAUACUGUGAACCCUGGGUUACUUGGGAAAAUGAUGUUCUCUAGCUGGAGCAGACCUGACGUGAUACAAUAAAGAUGUAUCUCAGUUCUUCUUUCCA